CAGCCGCCGCGGGAACACGGAGGAUCCGAGCGUUAUCCGGAAUUAUUGGGUUUAAAGGGUGCGUAGGCGGAUAGAUAAGUCAGUGGUGAAAGACGGUGGCUCAACCAUCGCAGUGCCGUUGAUACUGUUUAUCUUGAAUAUGGAUGAGGUAGGCGGAAUGUGGCAAGUAGCGGUGAAAUGCAUAGAUAUGCCACAGAACACCGAUUGCGAAGGCAGCUUACCAAGGCAAAAUUGACGCUGAGGCACGAAAGCGUGGGGAUCGAACAGGAUUAGAGACCCCGGUAGUCCCUGUCUCUUAUAC
RNAcentral lists this ribosomal RNA (301 nucleotides) under uncultured bacterium. Its description in RNAcentral is "partial 16S ribosomal RNA". It matches the Rfam family "Bacterial small subunit ribosomal RNA", at positions 509 to 807 of the family's 1533-position model. The record is from RNAcentral.